CAGCCGCCGCGGUAAUACGAAGGGUGCAAGCGUUACUCGGAAUUACUGGGCGUAAAGCGUGCGUAGGCGGUUUGUUAAGUCUGUUGUGAAAUCCCCGGGCUCAACCUGGGAAUGGCAAUGGAUACUGGCAAGCUAGAGUGUGUCAGAGGAUGGUGGAAUUCCCGGUGUAGCGGUGAAAUGCGUAGAGAUCGGGAGGAACAUCAGUGGCGAAGGCGGCCAUCUGGGACAACACUGACGCUGAGGCACGAAAGCGUGGGGAGCAAACAGGAUUAGAUACCCCUGUAGUCCCUGUCUCUUAUAC
RNAcentral lists this ribosomal RNA (301 nucleotides) under uncultured bacterium. RNAcentral describes it as "partial 16S ribosomal RNA". It matches the Rfam family "Bacterial small subunit ribosomal RNA", at positions 509 to 807 of the family's 1533-position model. The record is from RNAcentral.